Molecule: ribosomal RNA, 497 nt
Filed under: uncultured bacterium
Lineage: Bacteria
Description: partial 16S ribosomal RNA
Rfam family: Bacterial small subunit ribosomal RNA
Source: RNAcentral
GAUGAACGCUGGCGGCGUGCCUAAUACAUGCAAGUCGAGCGAACAGAUGAGGAGCUUGCUCCUCUGACGUUAGCGGCGGACGGGUGAGUAACACGUGGAUAACCUACCUAUAAGACUGGGAUAACUUCGGGAAACCGGAGCUAAUACCGGAUAAUAUAUUGAACCGCAUGGUUCAAUAGUGAAAGACGGUUUUGCUGUCACUUAUAGAUGGAUCCGCGCCGCAUUAGCUAGUUGGUAAGGUAACGGCUUACCAAGGCAACGAUGCGUAGCCGACCUGAGAGGGUGAUCGGCCACACGGGAACUGAGACACGGUCCAGACUCCUACGGGAGGCAGCAGUAGGGAAUCUUCCGCAAUGGGCGAAAGCCUGACGUAGCAACGCCGCGUGAGUGAUGAAGGUCUUCGGAUCGUAAAACUCUGUUAUUAGGGAAGAUCAAAUGUGUAAGUAACUAUGCACGUCUUGACGGUACCUAAUCAGAAAGCCACGGCUAACUACGUG